CCCAGACUCCUACGGGAGGCAGCAGUGGGGGAUAUUGCACAAUGGGGGAAACCCUGAUGCAGCGACGCCGCGUGGGUGAAGAAGUAUUUCGGUAUGUAAAGCCCUAUCAGCAGGGAAGAAAGAAGACGGUACCUGACUAAGAAGCCCCGGCUAACUACGUGCCAGCAGCCGCGGUAAUACGUAGGGGGCGAGCGUUAUCCGGAUUCACUGGGGGUAAAGGGAGCGUAGACGGCCGUGCAAGCCAGGAGUGAAAGCCCGGGGCCCAACCCCGGGGCUGCUCUUGGAACUGUGCGGCUGGAGUGCGGGAGGGGCAGGCGGAAUUCCUGGUGUAGCGGUGAAAUGCGUAGAUAUCAGGAGGAACACCGGCGGCGAAGGCGGCCUGCUGGGCCGCGACUGACGUUGAGGCUCGAAAGCGUGGGGAGCGAACAGGAUUAGAUACCCUGGUAAA
Molecule: ribosomal RNA, 448 nt
Filed under: uncultured bacterium
Lineage: Bacteria
Description: bacterial SSU rRNA
Rfam family: Bacterial small subunit ribosomal RNA
Source: RNAcentral